This 402-nucleotide long non-coding RNA is filed under the name Capra hircus (goat). RNAcentral's name for it is "lncRNA (ENSCHIG00000002657.1)". The record is from RNAcentral. Lineage: Eukaryota; Metazoa; Chordata; Mammalia; Artiodactyla; Bovidae.
ACACCAUAUGAAAUGCUGAAAUGUAAUCUUUGGAUAACCCUGACGACAUUAUGAAUUGACCACAAACAUAGUAAUAAGAGGUUUUGUUGUAUGCAUUCAGAAUCCGAAGGAUAGAGCCAUCCUCUGUUGUGAAGCAGUGGCCUUUGUUCAUCAGUGUCUGUGUUAUGGCGGAUUCAUGAGUUUGAUGAGAUCUGAAUUUGAGAGCUUAGCAUGAUAAAGAACUAAAAACUAACCAACAAACAAAAACAAAACCAGAACUUCUGCACGGGGAAAAUAGUCCCCAUGAGAAAUGAUAUGAAGAUGCUUCAAUAACUACAGGUAAUUUUGUUAUGAUUACCUCAGUUUUUCAUCUAUUUGCUCUCAUGGACUAUAACCCAGAGCCUCUAAGUAUUGGAAAUAACU